RNAcentral lists this long non-coding RNA (1063 nucleotides) under Gossypium barbadense (sea-island cotton). RNAcentral's name for it is "long non-coding RNA (GBAR_LNC002928)". The record is from RNAcentral. Lineage: Eukaryota; Viridiplantae; Streptophyta; Magnoliopsida; Malvales; Malvaceae.
UUCAAAUGUUGUUAUCUACAACAUCAGAAAUAAUCCCUUCCUUGCUUAAUUCUUGGUAUGAGUAAUCACAUUGCAAGGAGGUGAUGAUUUUUGAAGCUUUAGGUACCACUGACACUAUGAACAAGAAAGUCAUUGCAAGGUAUGUUUCUAAAUUGAGGAUAUUGUGGACACAAUGAUAAAGCAAGACAUUGAGCAGGUAAGGACUUGAUUUCAUCUUUUUCUUGUAAUGAAGAAAUAGUUAUAGUCUUGUGUUUAUAUGAUCUCAUCUUUCUAUAUAUUUCUGAAAUUGGUUCAAUAUCAUUAUGCAAUUGUUGUUUCGCAUUCAGAUAAAACAUUUCGAUGAUUCUCUUCUAUAAAUUUUCUAAUGGUAUACUUUGCACUCAGAAACACCAUCUUGGAUUUAAGCUAAACAAGGCCUGUCCAUGUCUAUUAGCUGUUUUUGAUUGGGUUUUCGAUUACUAUAUAUUGCAUUGUUUGAGUCUUUCAUUUUGAACAUCCUUUUCAACCCUUACAAAAUUGUACCUUUGAGGAAUGUUUUAUGGACUUUGUAAUGUGAUAAAGUAAUGAUCUAGGGGUUCUUGAAAACAGCUAUACCUCAAGGGCAGCACAGCUUCUUCAGAAAAUUGUCUGUAAGGACUUGUCUGCAGAUUUGUUGAUCUCAUCUUAGAUGUUAGAAUCUAAUAAAUCCAGUCUUCUUUUCCUUAUUAUUAGUUUCAAAUUUUAUAGUCACAUUGAAUGCAAUUGAAUAUGGAAUUUGGAUUAUCAGUUCAAAAUGUCAAAUGAGUCCGUCUGAAUUAUUUCUUGGUUUUUGAUACAAAGUUGUCUGAUGUGUGUUUUUGAUUACUUCGAUUAACUAGGUGUUUUUGAUAGAUUGUUUUACAGUUAACUUGGAUAUUAUGCGCCAAGACGGUUCAUAUCCUAUGGGAAAUGUGCCUCAACUCAUCGGGACUGCUCCUAUGUCUACCACCGAUUCCCGCACUACUGGUCAGGUAGAAUGGAUUUUGAUUAUGUGUUCAUUCAUAGUUCCUAUUUACCCCUAAAUUUGAGAUUACUACAGUUCGGA